This 449-nucleotide ribosomal RNA is filed under the name uncultured bacterium. Its description in RNAcentral is "partial 16S ribosomal RNA". It matches the Rfam family "Bacterial small subunit ribosomal RNA", at positions 29 to 523 of the family's 1533-position model. The record is from RNAcentral.
AGCGAACACUGGCGGCAGGCCUAACACAUGCAAGUCGAACGGACCCUUCGGGGUUAGUGGCGGACGGGUGAGUAACACGUGGGAACGUGCCUUUAGGUUCGGAAUAGCUCCUGGAAAAGGGUGGUAAUGCCGAAUGUGCCCUACGGGGGAAAGAUUUAUCGCCUUUCGCGCGGCCCGCGUCUGAUUAGCUAGUUGGUGAGGUAAUGGCUCACCAAGGCGACGAUCAGCAGCUGGUCUGAGAGGAUGACCAGCCACACUGGGACUGAGACACGGCCCAGACUCCUACGGGAGGCAGCAGUGGGGAAUCUUGCGCAAUGGGCGAAAGCCUGACGCUGCCAUGCCGCGUGAAUGAUGAAGGUCUUAGGAUUGUAAAAUUCUUUCACCGGGGACGAUAAUGACGGUACCCGGAGAAGAAGCCCCGGCUAACUUCGUGCCAGCCGCCGCUGUAA